This 1651-nucleotide long non-coding RNA is filed under the name Canis lupus familiaris (dog). Its description in RNAcentral is "lncRNA (ENSCAFG00000058202.1)". The record is from RNAcentral. Lineage: Eukaryota; Metazoa; Chordata; Mammalia; Carnivora; Canidae.
UUUUUUUUCUUUUUUUUCAUCUGUGCUUCUGAGAUGAAUUUACUGCUAGAAUUUAUGAGCCUUUAAUGACAAUCCUUACUGAAAUUCACAGUAUUGUGAACAUAACUGACAAUUUAUACCACACAGUGUAGUUCUUUGUAAGCAUUCAGACACACACACUCACAUUAACACACUCACAUGAGAUUACAGAUAAUGGCAUUCUGCAUGGCAGGCAAUUGCCAUGAAUAAUCAGUGUCCAUUAAUAUUCUCAUAAGUUAUUGUGUUUACAAAUUAAGACUAACAUAAUCAUAAUACUCAAAACAUUAAGUUAAUGGCAUUAAGUUCCCUAUUGACGUGUAAGGCCUAUAAGUAAGAGAUGUUCAUUCUUGUUCACCAUUCUAUCCCCCAUGCCUAGAUCAGUGAGUGAAUUAUAAUACAGUUUAAAAAACAAAACAAAACUUUGUUUUAAAAAAUAAAAAAAAUAAAAUAAAAUAAAAAAUAUAAAUCAGUUGUCUAAAAAAUUAAGUGGAAAAUAAUUUCCUCUUUUUUAAAUUCCUUUAUGGUAAAGCAUGUUGAGGAGGAUAUUAUUUUGGAUCAAGAGAGAUCAUAAAUUUGAUUCACAUACAUUUGAAACAGACACAGUAGCCGCUGGGUAGGAUAUAAAGGUGAAUAUUUCCCCUUUACAGGAGAAUCUAUCAUUAAUUAAAUGUUGAAAAAUCACAGUGAUUUACACUUGCUGAAAAACCUUACAGGCAGCAAAUUAUGGUAGCCAAAGAGAUGAGUGGAUAAGUGUUGACAGAAAAAGCACAAGUGAACUUGGGUGAGCACCCUGAACCCAAACUAUCUGUGGGCCAUGUUGUCUGAGGGUGAUGUACUUACCUGUUUAGACCUAAUGAUUAAGCAUGUCUCUGGUUAGAGACGUUUGAUCUAUUGUACCCAGCCUGGGAGAAAAGCACACAAUGUGCCUGGUCCAUUAGAAAAUACAGUCCUCUAUGAAAUGUUAACACUUGGCCUUCUAUGCACCGGGUUCAUUACUAUGGUAAUACCCCCAUUUUCUCUCUGAUGCUGAAAAUGUGAGUUCUACAGCUCAUCCUUUUGUGUGUGAUCAGUAGGAAAAUGGGAUGAUGGAAACAUUUGAUGGGUUCUAAUAAGACAACAUCCUAGCCAACUAAUUCAUGACAUAAAACGAGUACUUGGUGUUCUUAUUUAUCCUGCUACCCCUUAGCCUAGCUUAAGUCCAAAAGUAUAAAAGAGGUUGAUUCCUUUGGUCCAAGCUAACUCCCUAAUUCACAGCCCCCCUAAUUCUGAUAAUUCUUCUUAUCAGAUCUGCUCCAAGGGUCUUGCUGAGGAUUUCACAAUACUAAUAAAAACUUCUAGAUGGGUAAAACUUACUUCUCAGGUUUUUUUUUUUUUUUUUUUUUUUUAUUAAAUCAGAAGAUAACUGCUUGCAAACUCAAAUAUUAUCUUCUGUAUUUCUAAAUAAUUUCACUACAUUUUGGAACAUGAAGAUUAGUAAAUAAGAAGGAAAGAAAAAUAAUAAUAAAAAGGAAAACUCAAGGAGAAAAAAAAAGAAAAGCUAGAGACUUCACACCUUUGGGGCUUUUCCAUCCUCCCAGCUAUUUUUACUUGCUAACUUUGCCAUCUACCACACAUCAUGGGUGUUGCGCGUGUC